This is a long non-coding RNA of Macaca fascicularis (crab-eating macaque), 1676 nucleotides long. The record is from Ensembl. NCBI's taxonomy places the organism in Eukaryota, Metazoa, Chordata, Mammalia, Primates, Cercopithecidae.
GGAGGCAGAGGCGGCAGUGAGCCAAGAUCGUGCCACUGUACUCCAGCCUGGGCUACAGAGCGAGACCUUAUCUCAACAAUAAAAAUUAGUAAUGAGUGCCUGGACAACAUAACACGAUUUUGUUCCUGUUAAAAACAUUAGCCAGGCAUGGUGGUGUGCACCUGUGGUCCCAACUACUUGGGAGGCCUAAGUCUAGGAGGUUGAAGUUGCAGUGAGCUGUGACUGCGUCAUUGCACUCCAGCCUGGGCAACAGAAUGAGACACUGUCUCAAAAAAUAAAGAAAAAAAUAUUGGUAAUGAGGAUUUAUCAGGAAGAUGUAUGAGGACUUUGUAAUUUCACUAGUAUUAGCAUCUGCUGUUGAUUCUCUCCUUUUUUCAAAUUCAUUUUAUUUUAUUUUGAGACAGGUUCUUGUUCUCUCACCCCAGGCUGGAGUGAAGUGCUGUGAUCUCGGCUCACGGCAGCCUUAACUUCCUGGGCUCAAGUGAUCUUCCUGCCUGAGCCCAAGUAUCUGGGACUAUAGGCAGGCACCAUCACACCUGGCUAAUUUUUGUAUUUUUGUAGAGACAGGGUUUUGCCAUGUUGCCCAGGCUGGAAAUUUCUUAUUUUCUUAGAAACAGGGUAUUGCUCUGUCACCGCAAGCUGGAGUGAAGUUGGCAUGAUCAUGCAUCACUGUAGCCUCAACUCCUGGACCCAAGCCAUUCUCCUUCCUCAGCCUUGUAAGCAGCUAGGACUACAGGCACAUGCCACCAUGCCCAGCUAUUUUAUGGUUUAAUGUUUUUGUAGAGACAGGGUCUCACUUUGUUGCCCAGGCUGGUCUCAAAUGCCUGGUCUCAAGAAAUCCUCCGACCUUGGCCUCCCAAAGUGCCGAGAUGACAGGUGUGAGCCUCCAUGCCUGACCUCAGUGUUGAUUCUGGACCAAAUCAGCUCUUAAUAGGGUGGUUGCCAAAUGGUGGUUCUCUAACUUCAUCCCUUCUACAUUGAUUGGUGGGUCAGUGGUCACUCUGUGGUAAGGAACACUUCUCUCUUUGCUAUUUAUUCAGGGAUGUCAGUGUGGGUCACGGGGCGGCGGGGAGCAUUGUGUUAUUGAACAAGUUGUAAUCAGUCCCUACUGCCACAGAUUUUGAUGUCCAGAUUGUCCCUGGCUACGCCAGUGGGAGCCUGUAACUUGGACCUGUUUCCGUGUCUCCCUCAGGACACCAGCCAUGCCCUUUGCUUCCUAUAGCCUCCACCACACUAGCCUCCUGAAGCCAGACAUCUCUCAUCAGACGUCUGUGAAUGCGGACCCCACCUCCCACAAGAUGUGGAGGUCAGAAACUGCUCCAGGUGAGAGCCCAGCUGGUCUCAGCUUCUGUUUCAAAAGAAACUGUUUAGCCAGCAGGCGCCGUGGCUCAUGCCAGUAAUCCCAGCACUUUGGGAGGCUGAGGUGGGUGGAUCAUGUGAGGUCAGGAGUUUGAGACCAGCCUGUCCAACAUGGUAAAACCCUGUCUCUACUAAAAACACAAAAAUUAGCCAGGCAUGCUGGCAGCCGCCUGUAGACCCAGCUACUCAGGAGGCUGAGGCAGAGAAUUGCUUGAACCAGACGAGGCAGAGGCUGCAGUGAGCUGAGAUCACACCACUGCACUUUAGCUUGGGUGACAGAGCUAGACUCCAUCUCAAAAAAAAAAAAAAAAAAAAAA